GCCUUUGUAGCUCAAUGGAUAGAGCACUUGCCCUCGAAGCAAAAGGUUGGAGGUUCGAGCCCUCUCAAAGGCACCA
RNAcentral lists this transfer RNA (76 nucleotides) under bacterium. Its description in RNAcentral is "tRNA-Arg". It matches the Rfam family "tRNA". From Rfam's summary of the family: Transfer RNA (tRNA) molecules are approximately 80 nucleotides in length. Their secondary structure includes four short double-helical elements and three loops (D, anti-codon, and T loops). Further hydrogen bonds mediate the characteristic L-shaped molecular structure. tRNAs have two regions of fundamental functional importance: the anti-codon, which is responsible for specific mRNA codon recognition, and the 3' end, to which the tRNAs corresponding amino acid is attached (by aminoacyl-tRNA synthetases). tRNAs cope with the degeneracy of the genetic code in two manners: having more than one tRNA (with a specific anti-codon) for a particular amino acid; and 'wobble' base-pairing, i.e. permitting non-standard base-pairing at the 3rd anti-codon position. The record is from RNAcentral.